GUGUUGUCUAUAGUUUCCCUUAAUGCUAGAGGGUGUUGUGUUGUGUUGUCUAUAGUUUCUCUUAAUGCUAGAGGGUGUUGUGUUGUCUAUAGUUUCUCUUAAUGCUAGAGGGUGUUGUGUUGUCUAUAGUGUGUCUUAAUGCUAGAGGGUGUUGUGUUGUGUUGUCUAUAGUGUGUCUUAAUGCUAGAUGGUAGGGUGUUGUGUUGUCUAUAGUGUAUCUUAAUGCUAGAGGGUGUUGUGUUGUCUAUAGUGUGUCUUAAUGCUAGAGGGUGUUGUGUUGUCUAUAGUGUGUCUUAAUGCUAGAGGGUGUUGUGUUGUGUUGUCUAUAGUGUGUCUUAAUGCUAGAGGGUGUUGUGUUGUCUAUAGUGUGUCUUAAUGCUAGAGGGUGUUGUGUUGUCUAUAGUGUGUCUUCAUGCUAGAGGGUGUUGUGUUGUGUUGUCUAUAGUGUGUCUUAAUGCUAGAGGGUGUUGUGUUGUGUUGUGUUGUCUAUAGUGUGUCUUAAUGCUAGAGGGUGUUGUGUUGUCUAUAGUUUCUCUUAAUGCUAGAGGGUGUUGUAGGGUGUUGUGUUGUCUAUAGUGUAUCUUAAUGCUAGAGGG
This 596-nucleotide long non-coding RNA is filed under the name Salmo salar (Atlantic salmon). Its description in RNAcentral is "lncRNA (ENSSSAG00000102144.1)". The record is from RNAcentral. Lineage: Eukaryota; Metazoa; Chordata; Actinopteri; Salmoniformes; Salmonidae.